CCCCCCCCCCCCCCGGCACCCCUCCCAGCCCGAACUGUGUGCGCCUGAAGGUGCCCUCCUUGCAAUACAGUGAAUCUUUUGGAGAGAUGGGUUCCCCGUGCUUGAAUUAAAAAAAAAAUGUAAAUGAAGAGCCAGCCCGGUCAGCAGACACUCCUCCUGAAGGACAUCUAUGAUGCUGUUCAUUCACUCCUUCAACUUCAAAGCAGAGAGAAAAGCAUGGAUGACAGAGCCGGGAGCGGGGGUACAAAGGUACUCACAACAAGAGGAAAAAUGCCUGUUUACAGGAUCGCAUUUGUUAGCACACUCUGUUCAGAUAUUGUUCCCCCAGGAAUAGCGAGAAUAUGUGCGGCACGAACAAUGAUUUAACAUCUGAAAAUGGUACUUAAAGAGUUUCUGUCUGGUAGUAAUGUGAUGAAGGCUUCGGAAGGGAACCUGGGGACUUCAUUUCUUCUAUUUAUCUAUAUGUCUCUCUGGUUUUAGUCAGAGGUAAUUGCAUAUUUAACCCCUCAAAUAGCUUUAACCCUCGAGGUGCCAAGAUUUUCCCCUGUUCGAAAUGUGCUUUUAUCCCAGCAGAGGCAGACUUGGCAUUCCCUUGAAAAGAAUUAUUUAAAUUUUGAAAGUGUGUGUGUGUGUGUGUGUGUGUGUGUGUGUGUGUGUAUGAAAAGAAAUAGCCACGUUGAGGGAUUAGAUGUAGGGAAAGAAGCCUGCCCUACCUCUCUUGUGUGGAAGAGAAGCAGUUAAAAUACAAAUAUCAAGAAGAAUGAAAACUUAAAAGGAAUAAAAGAGAAGAAGGAACGACAGAACCGUGUUUUUAUUUGGGUUCCAUUGUGGCUUGAGCUUAGGGAGAAAAGAGAAGGCACUCGCGGCCCACGAGAAGUUGUAGAUGGACCCUAAAUCAAGAGUAUAAAUUUGUCGCUUGCCUCGGCAAUAUGGUUUUCUCAAUUAGUGGUCGUUCUGGGAGGCCCGCUUAACAGCUUAUGUGAAACAAAUAUUAACACAAAUUGCAUAAUGACAUCAAAAUCCCAAAUUCCUCAAAGAUGCAAAAACGGUUUUCAGCUAAGCACACGCCAGCAAUAAAACAUCCUAUAGUCAAAGGAAGCACACUCUAAGGCAACCACGAGACUGGAUCCGAGCGACUUUCACAGUUUAUUUUCAUGGUAUUUAAAUUAUGAUACCAGUGGGUAUUUUUAAUUAGUGUGCACUUGUCUACAUAAGCCAUGUUGGCAAAUUUGACUCAUUCAUACAGUAGUUGCUGUAAAAGAGGCCAGCACAGCCUGCAGGAAUUAAAAUUAAAAGUUUCUGCAAGCUGUUGUCGACAUGACCAUAUCUCAUUAACUUUAAAAAUGGAGAUUAUUUGCCUGAAAGCUUGAUUUGACUAGCAGUAAUCAAAUAUUAGGCUCAACGAAGGGAAAGGUGGUGGGGGGAGAGCGUCAUUGUUGUGAUAUAUAUUGCUAAGUAUUUUGCAGUUCCCUUUAAAUAGCGUUAUAAGAUUUCUGUUUUGACAAAAGGGAUAGGGAAGAGAAACACAGACAUAUGGCCUCAAAAGUAUUAUUAGGAUAGUUUUAUUUUAGAUUAAGACUCAUUAUUUACUAAGUUCGCUGAAGACAAAUACGAUUGUGCUGAUUACCAAUUCUUCCCUCAUUAAGGAGGCAGCUUAAUUAUCUGGAGUGGCUUCCCCUGCCUGAUCAAAGUUUUAAACAUUGGAAACGGGGCCUAUCUCAUGAUUAUCUUUCCUUUUUUCAACUAGUAAAUUGGCAUGAACCCUAAAUUUGUACGUUGGAUUCAUCCCAUUGUUUUAACUAAAUAUGAUGAAGAAGGUUGCAAAAUUGUGCAUAAAAUGAAGGAAAAUGGAAGAGCCCUCAUCUUAUCUCAUCUACUUUUCUAAAUAGCUUGUUAUUUGAAUUAGGUAUCUAAGCAAAAAAUCUCUUUCUGCCAGUAAUUAAGGAGUCCGAUGUGGAAAAACCUGAAGUUAUUGAAAUAUGGUAGACCCGGUCUCAUUUUAGAUCUUGUUUUAUAUUUUCACACGCACAAAGAAACAUUUGUAAUGCAUAGGUGCAAACUGUAAAAUGAAGAUGCAUUUUGGGGGGGGGGGGAGGAAGGGAAGAAAAAAAGGUGCAGUUAAACAAAAGACCGAAGAUAAAGUCUUACGCCUUUUUAUGUCUUUGAACUGAGAACAUGUUCUGCAUUUUACUCAAGGAACAUGAGGCUAGAAUGUAAGUAACUGGUUUUUGCAUUAGGCUCUCCCUGGAGGUAGCAGAAAAAUAUCAUGUCCCUGCAUGAAAUGCGAAUGUGAAAUCUACCAGAAAGAAAUAUUUAUGACCAUUUUAUGCUUGAUUAGGCUUGGAUGACAUCUGUUAGAAGACAGGGACUGGACAAAGAGAGAGACGCUCGGGGGCAAAUGUUAACGGAGUUGUUUAGACGACGCUAGGGCAGAGGCGUCCAUUUACUGCCAGGCAAAACACAGGAAUUGUGUUAGCAAGAGGGCAGCUGACAAGAAUCCCCCGUGAUAGAGACACUGUAAACGGACUCGAUGGGCUCGUCAAAUACAGCUGUUGGUAGCCACUGCCGUACCUCAGUUUCUGAGCAGGUAUCUAGGAGCAGCCCUGAUCCGGUGACUCCCAGGGAGCCAGACGCCUUAAUAAAGUUACACACAUGUGACUCAGCUAUAAAUGAUCAUCUUCAGUUUUUCAAGUGAGUUUUACAUCCUCCUGCCCGGCGGACUUAGCCGGACCAGGAGACACUUCUGUAUUUCUCAGUGAAAGGGGAACCCAUUAAAUGACACACUUUGCCACCGUACAUUUCUGCAACCUACGUUUGUUUGGUUUUUUUUUUUUUUCCCCUUAACCUAAGUCUCCCCCUGUUUUAAAAAAAAAAAAAAUAACCCCCUCCGUUCUAUAGAAGCACUUCAUCACUUGAAACAGUGCAAAUGUUUGCCUGAACAAGAAAAAAAAAAAAAGUCUGCCAACACUGGCAAACAUUUUAUCAAUUGUUAAACAUUUCAGUGUUAAAGUAAGUGCUGUUUGUCUGAAGAAAUGGCUCUACCAAGAGUGGAGGUAUGAGCAGUUAUUACAUUCUGGUUCUUUUCCCAGCUUCUUUUCCUGUAAAUUUUCUCUGUCUGGAAUGCUGAUGGGAAAUGUUAUUUUGUUUUUGUUUGCAGCAGUUCUGUUGUUUUGAUUUUGUCUGAGUGGUAUGGAAAACAGUACGUCACUUAGAGUGGGUGUUUUGUCUACCGGCCAUUUGGCCAUUGCACAUAUAUUUCUCAUACUUAUUACAUGAUGACAAGGGAACAGCAAAGGCACAAUUUUCCAGUUGAAUUUUUCUUUCCAGUUUAAUAAUAGCGAAAAAAAGAAAACAAAGUUAAUAGAUUUAGCAGUGUGAUGGUACUCGCGAUGUGAUAGCUGACUUGAGGUGGUUUUAUGUUUUUUCAUUGUUUUUUUUUUUUUUUUUUUUUUUUUUUUGUUUCGUGCCUGUGGUUCAGGAGCUAUUUAGGGGAAGGUCAGAUUAAUGCAUAUAUCAGUUUCUAUAAUAAACUGCAUGUGGAUAGCAUUUCACAUUCUGCAGAGUUGUGAAACGUUGUAAUUUAAGUAGGAAAAUUCAUAAAAGGAUAAUCAACAAUUUUAACAUCAUUCCUGUGAUUAGCCUGGGUACUCUUGCCCUGGUUUUAGGCCGCAUGUAACAUAACCUCUACCAAUAAAUGCAUUUCAAUUAAAACGAAUUGAAAUGAAAUUUGGACGAAAACCCAAAAUACAAAUCUCAAAGAAUAACUUAAGGCUGUUUACUGGCUCAGUUUGGACAUGCUUUAUCUGAAAUCAUUCUCCACAUUUGCAAUGUUAAGGAACAUAUUGCAAAGAGUGUAGAAGUUAGCUCUACAAGUAAGUAAUUUUUGGUGUAGUACAAAAAUAUAAAAUGGAAAUGAUGAUUAAUUUUUCAAUUUCUCUCUGCAGAUAUCUAAUCAUUGUACCCAUGGACCGCCAAAGGCUCCCAUUAAAGAUUUAAAAUGCAAGAGGAAGGUAGAAUCCAAAAGAUGGGAUUUGGGAUUAAAUAAUGUAAAAUAACUGCAGGGCAGUAGCGAAGUAAAAGCUAUUGGCACAAUAAGAUUCUUUCGGACUUUUUUCAACAAUCCACUUAAAAUAUCGACACCUCCUUACAUACAAUGCCCUAGAUGUGGUGUUCAUAAAAUUAUUUAUAACCCCGACUAAAUGAUGAAACCAUGUUUUUGUUUUAGGUUACACCAGUUAAUAACAACAGCACCCAUCGGAAGAGCUCUGUGAAAAUGCACGCGGAUGUCCUCCGUGCUUUAAAUAUUAUCCUCUUUAUUAAAGGAUUUUGCCUGCAGUUACACUAAAUAUAUGUUGCUUCUUCCUUGAGGAUUUUCAUUUUAGAUGGGGAAAUGCAGUGUUUGGGGGUCACCAGAGUAUGUACAGCAUGAUUUUCUUCAAAUCAAGGGAACUUUUAUAAUCCUGGAAGAAGGGGACAUUGCCGCCUCGGUAUAUAAAAGCUGUCAGUAAGGUCCAGCCGGGCCUCUCGGAGCUCGCUGUACUGUCUUUAUCACUUUGCUCAGUUCCACAUAAUAACAUCUUCAUCUGAGAUUGCUGUGGCACAGGGGAACUGCAUUUGUUGAUCAAAUUUGGCUGGAUAACACUGUGAUCUCGUAUCCUGAAGUGCGGAGAUGUGCCUGGAAUAUGUAAGUGCAAAGCUAGCCCCUUGAUUGAUUGAUUCUGCCUGUCACAGAACAAGAUAACCGGAUCAGUAAAUACUCUGUGCACUUCAGCAUCAUCUCCACAAUCAAAAGUGAGGGCAUCAUGGGGCUGGAAAACACUGGGUCAUGAUGGGAAUGCACACAUUUCAGAAUGAUCAUUGGGAAUAUAUAUAUAUAUAUAUAUAUAUAUAUAUAUAUGUACAUACAUGCGCAUACACAUACAUUCGCACGCAAACACACAAAAAAUUCUUUGUGUGUGGUUUCUUAGAAGGGAACAGUGUAAAAAAAAAAAAACAGUAUUUUCUGUAUGUUUAGAACGCUUCCUGGUUAUAAAAGUCGAGUUUAUUUUGCAGCUGUCAUCUUAGAGGUGUACAACAUUUAUCAUAAAAAGUUGUUAUUCGAGUUUUGUUUACAGAAGAGAUUUAGAAUGCAGAUUAGGGAAACGGAGCUGGAUAAGAGGUCAGUAGUGGUCUCAAGCAUAAAGGGAGCUUGCACCCAAGAUUUGCUCCUCUUAAAAUAAACUUUUUGUUUAAACAGAUGGGCCGAACACAUGUAAACAAGUUGUUUAAACUUUUACUAAAUUCCCAGGGAGUGCCUUUCAAAAUUAGCAUGCGUUGCCAAAUUUCUUUAAUUGCACAGAGUUCAAGAAGAGUUUAAAGAACGCAACUGUGCGAGUCUUUGGGAGAUGGGACGAUCACAGGUCACCAGGUGGCACGCAUUAUUCCAUUAUUCGUGGUGCCUUGAUGUCCCUCACCCCCGCACACCCCCGCCCCCGCCGGAAUGGCACUUGUGCCCCACUCGCUUGUGCUGCCUCUCCUCUGUUUGUCCUCUCCUUUAAAACUCUAAGUUUCUUGAAGGCAAGGGCAGCCUUGGAUUGCUGGGUGUGUGCCCUAGGGUUUCCGGAAGCCCGCCCUCUGCAGACUCUGUGCCACGUGGCAAGUGAGAGGAGGAGGAACUGAGCGUUGGGCUCUCUUUUCUAAAUGUUUUUCACAUUCAUGCUUCUGAGAUUGCACUGGUCUCCGCCCAUGGGGAGUGCUCUAACCCCAAGUCCUUCUUUUGGGGAACUUCAGUGUUGAAGUCCAGCAACCUAACCAGUCUUUUGUCCUGUGUUUUCCUGCUGUUAAGUGGGAGAUUGCCAUCAGUGGCUCAAACAGACUGUUUCUGUGACCACCAGCCACACACAGUUGCUUAAAGAUAAUGCUGCUUCUCAUUUUGUAUGUAGAGAAUGCAAAUCGUCAUGAGGAAGUGCCCCAGGCCAGUGACUGAGAAACUUCGGUGUUGCCCACCUCACAAGUGAAUUUUUGCAGAGCCCUCCGAGCGGUUUAGGACUUUCUGGGUGGCCUGCUGGUCAUCUCAGGUGCCUCUGAGGUGGGUGACGUGUUGAUUCACCAGCCAAGGGGUUUUUGGUUUUUGUUUUUUUCUGUUUAGCUUGGCUGGAAUCAGUACGUACCCUCUUUUGUACCAUUUUCGAUAUGUCUGCUUAGUCCUUUGUGACUUAGUUAUUUUUUUAUUUGAAAUGAUUAAAAAGGCCUUUUGGCAGAACGGGCCCCCUUUCUUAAUUUUUUGAAUAUUAAAGAAAGCAUUAAUUGAGUUUAAUGUUCUCAAAACAAAAAAAUUUGUGAGGUGCUGAUGAUUUGAGAGCAGUCAUCUGGGAGAGGUUUUGAUUUUUUUUUUUUUUUAACCAAAAAAAAAAAAAAAUGUGGUGCUCCCUUUCAAUUUGGUGAAAGCUAUUCCUAGUAACGUUUUAUAAAAUCAUUUUCUUUUCAGGGUGUGUUUUAUUUCCUUUCCAUCUCUUUCAGGAAAGAGAAAGUGUUUUAUUGGAUAUUUUUGUUUCAGUCCUUGUUUCCAUUAUUUUUGCCAAAAUUCAUGGGAGUUCACUUUCCGUUUAAAUGCCUGAAAUAUUCCUUGAAGAAUCUGCAUUUUGGGACAACUAGGAAAAAGGCUAUGUAAAUUGGUUUAAGGAAGAAAAACAGUUGUUACCGGAGUCCUCUCAGCCACUUGCUUUUUCCCUUACUUUAUAAUUUUGGAGGCAAAUAAUUUCAAGUGUAAUGGGCCGGGGUGGGUGGGGGGCAUGAAUCUAAAGUUCAAAGGAAGUUUGGUGUUUGUUGUAAGAUAAAGCGUAUCUUAGUUUUCAAGCGAAGGGAGAAAGUAAGCUUUACUCGAAGAAAGAAACGGGCAGUCGAUUUGUUAAGCAGGAAACACAGAACAGGUCCAUAAAAAAGUGCGCGCUGUCUUGUGAAGUAGAUUUGGCCAGAAGAUUUUGAUGAAAGCAAUUCCCCAGUUUGCGACUAGUCUCUCUGUACAAAUUGUGUUCGUCUUUGGAGACGAGGAUCAGGCAGUUUCUCUUCUAAUGACCGUCACUGUGUCUAGCAAAGUGCAUUUUGUUGGGCUUUGGAAUCAGCUCUCCUUUUACUGUUGAAAUUCGGCCCUGUCAGCUGGGGAUACAUCCAUGCACGCUUCUAGUCCAGGCCUAUAUGUGUCUUUGUUUUGGGGUUGGGCUGAUGGGAUGGAAUUUAGCGUUCUUCUGGGCAGGAUUUUACAGACUCAUGUUUGGCCGGGCAGACGUUCGGCCCUCGAUCCGCCCCCCAGUCGCCAUGGCGAAGGAGAGAGAACUCUUCCUCACUCCUCUCCCUGGGUUGCUUUCUAACAUCUCUGUUGUCUUGGGAGAAAAUUUGCAAAACUGAUUAAAAACGGGCAAGUGCAUGACUUCUAUGAAAAUCGUGCAGCUUCACACCGUGGGACGUGUUUGCUUUGGCUGGCCUCUGUGGCAAGACUGACAUAUUUAUGUGGAAAGCUCCUAUUUAGUAUUUAACUUGGAAUUUUACACAUCUGAAUGAUAAAACUGAACAGACGCGAGAUUUUGCUGGUGUCGUCGUUUGCCCUGCUUCUUCUGAAACGUGAAGAAACCUGGAGUAGACGCAUUUCAACAUGGUCACCCCCUUGCUCGGCCACCAGAAUUCGUAAAUAGUCAGAUUCCUUGAUAAUGCUGCGGAGAUUGGGCACGAAGCAGCCACUGCGUUUGCUAUGCAGGAGAGUUAAUAAAAAUUUUCAUUGCUGGAGGAAAGCUUAUAUACAGUAGUCUGUUUGUCCUGUGUUUCCACCACCUGAGUCACAGCCAAAAAAGCAAUUGUCUACUACAUAUUUCAAACAGAUGCUGAGGGGUAGAAGGGGUGACUAGAAUUCGCAGCAAUAAAAGCCCGCUCUCCAAGUUCCCUUGAAGGAAGUGAACUCAUAAAAUUUUUGCUGCCGACCUAUUUGUCCAGUUCUUUGAAGUAUUUAACAUUAAUUUAGCCUGCAAAUCAUUGGCACCUCAGUUUUUCAUUGAAGUAUCCAGGAUCUGUUAAAGACAGACCGUGGGUGUGCCUGGGGAAAAAAAAAAGAUUCUGGAAGCAGUCUACUAAUUUCACUGUUAUUCGUGUACGUUGUUUUUAUCGAAGCCAAUAUUCUACGCGUUCAAAGUUCUCUAACUCAGAAACUGUUUCUUUUAAGUUUAUAUUUGCUUGUGUGGAUGAGUACAGAGAACACAGUUAGGUGGACGACCCGCUUUUUUUCUUUGGACUUCUUUCUGUUGGCGUUGAUACAUUUUGUAAUGUGCUGGUGGUGCUUAGGGGGGUAAUGACAGUAGGUACGAGAGUGAUAAAUGCCACCAGAAGAUCUUAUGAAAGGUGAAAAAUAAAAAUGGAGGGAUGCACUCUUAAACUGAAGUGUCCUCUCGCUAGAAUAUUAGUAGACAAGGUCUCCUACCUCAUUCAUCCAGGUGCUCUAAUUAAUUACCAGGCAUAAGGGAGACACUCUGUUCUUCUGGAAGCUUUUUCGUUUCUUUUCUUUAAAAACAUUUUUUAAUGUUUAUUUUUGAGAGAGAGAGAGAGAGAGAGAGCAAGAGAGAGAGCGGGGAAGGGGCAGAGAGAGAGGGAGACUCAGAAUCUGAAGCAGGCUGCAGGCUUUGAGCUCUCAGCCCACAGCCUGACCCGGGGUUCGCACUCGAAACCUGCGAGAUCAUGACCUGAGCCAAAGUCGGACAUCUAACCAACUGAGUCACCCAGGCGCCCCUUGGUUCUUUUCCAUCUAUUGACAAGUAGCAGUGGGUGGCUUAGGAACUGGAUGCUCUCAUCGUACCCCACUGCCUUCCCUGUUCCUUAUAGCUUCACAACUUUAAAAUGACCUUUUAAAAGAGCUCAGAAGGGACCUCAAAGAGGAAAGGAAUUACGAAACUUAAUGAAUCAGGUAAAACUUGGAGGUACCAAACGUGUAUGGGCCUUCAAUUUCUAUCUGACAGUUGGAGAGCUUAGGGAAGACUCUUCUGUGUAAAGAAGCUCCUGCAUGCACGCAUCACCCUCUCAUCUCCACCAUUUUGAUUUGCUAGAACAUGUGUUAUGAGCUGAAAUGAUCCUAGAUGGAUCUGCUGGUAAUUUGACUUUGGCCGCUGAAUGUACAUUUCCACAAGAUGGGGACUCUGUCACGUGCUCGGCUUUAUCUCUGGCACUUGGCGUGCAACAGGAACUCAGUAAGUACCUCGCUAGAGUGGGCACUUAUUCCAAAAAUCUCCACCGUCUUAACAUUAGACGUCUUAAAGGUUCUGGCUCUUCCUUCACUUAGACUAGACCUUCUGAAAGGAUCAUAUUGAUAACGUCUGUUUUGAAAGAGAUAUAAAGACAAAGACUGUGGGAAGCAAUGGUUAAUUAGAAUUCCAAGCUAGUAUUUAGUUACAUUUGUCCUACUAUUUUGGCCAGGUUUCAGUUAGCUAAGUAUCUCUUAUACCCUGUAAUUUAGUAUACAGUUUCAGCUUUCCAAAUAAUGGCUUGCUAAUGGUAAAUGUUGUUUAACUUUCUAAAUCAAGGGAGCUACCUGUUCAGCAGAAUUUAAAAAAUUGUAAGUGAUGAUUGAAACCAGGUUAAAAAGCACUUAAGGUACAUUUGACUGUAUGUUUGGCGUCUGUUUGGAUGGGCCCGUGGCUAUCAUUAUUCUUUUUGAAUCUGAACAUAAACAGCAGGUAGGGAUUUUUCUAAAUUGGUCCAGAACUAAGACUUACCUUUACUUAGCAAGCUUUUCCGAUCUGGGUAAAUAAUGCACCAUUUUUAUAGUUACUCUGAUCAGAAAUGUUUCUCUCCUUCUCCCCAGUGCCUUCAGUGAUAGGUGCUCCUAACUGUAGAUGGUUCUCUCUUAUUUAUUUCACUUAUCCAAACUUGUUUUUUUCUUCAUAAGACACAGUUCUGAUCCCUCUGUUCUCUUGUUUUCUAUUUCCUACUAAGUUCAUUAGUAUUCCUUAGCUUGGUAUGGGGGCAAUGUGAUGGAUUAAGAAUGACCACAGGGGCGCCUGGGUGGCUCAGUCGGUUAAGUGUCCCUCUCUUGAUUUCUGCUCAGGUCAUGAUCUCCCAGUUCAUGGGUGGAGCCUGCUGGGGAUUCUCUCCCCCUCUCCCUCUCCCUCUCCCUCUCC
Long non-coding RNA from Neofelis nebulosa (Clouded leopard), 10133 nucleotides. RefSeq lists it as uncharacterized. NCBI's taxonomy places the organism in Eukaryota, Metazoa, Chordata, Mammalia, Carnivora, Felidae. The record is from RefSeq and is a predicted model, not a curated record. The transcript has 3 exons.